This 301-nucleotide ribosomal RNA is filed under the name uncultured bacterium. RNAcentral describes it as "partial 16S ribosomal RNA". It matches the Rfam family "Bacterial small subunit ribosomal RNA", at positions 509 to 807 of the family's 1533-position model. The record is from RNAcentral.
CAGUCGCCACGGUAAUACGAAGGGUGCAAGCGUUACUCGGAAUUACUGGGCGUAAAGCGUACGUAGGUGGUGGUUUAAGUCCGUUGUGAAAGCCCUGGGCUCAACCUGGGAAUUGCAGUGGAUACUGGAUCACUAGAGUGUGGUAGAGGAUAGUGGAAUUUCCGGUGUAGCAGUGAAAUGCGUAGAGAUCGGAAGGAACAUCUGUGGCGAAGGCGACUAUCUGGGCCAACACUGACACUGAGGCACGAAAGCGUGGGGAGCAAACAGGAUUAGAUACCCCAGUAGUCCCUGUCUCUUAUAC